UACAGAGGCCUCAAGCGUUAGGCGGAAUCACUGGGCUUAAAGCGUGUGUAGGCGUACUUCUAAGUACCUUGUGAAAUCCCACGGCUUAACUGUGGAACUGCUUGGUAUACUGGUUGUCUUGAGCCACUCAGGGGCGAGCGGAACAAAUGGUGGAGCGGUGAAAUGCGUAGAUAUCAUUUGGAACGCCAAUGGUGAAAACAGCUCGCUGGGGGUGUGCUGACGCUGAGACACGAAAGCCAGGGGAGCGAACGGG
Molecule: ribosomal RNA, 253 nt
Filed under: uncultured bacterium
Lineage: Bacteria
Description: partial 16S ribosomal RNA
Rfam family: Bacterial small subunit ribosomal RNA
Source: RNAcentral